GUGCACGCUGGCGGUAGGCCUAACACAUGCAAGUCGAACGGCAGCACAGUAAGAGCUUGCUCUUACGGGUGGCGAGUGGCGGACGGGUGCGGAAUACAUCGGAAUCUACUUUUUCGUGGGGGCUAAUGUAGGCAAACUCACGCUAAUACCGCAUACGACCUACGGGUGAAAUCAGCGGAUCUUCUGACCUUGCGUCAUUGAAUGAUCCGAUGUCGGAGUAGAUAGUUGGCGGGGUAGUGGCCCACCAAGGCGACGAUCCGGCGCUGAUCUGAGAGGAUGAUCAGCCACAGUGGAUCUGAGACACGGUACAGACUCCUACGAGAGGCAGCAGUGGGGAAUAUUGGACAAUGGGCGAAAGCCUGAUCCCGCCAUACCGCGUGGGUGAAGAAGGCCUUCGUGUUGUAAAGCCCUUUUGUUGGGAAAGAAAAGCAGCAGGUUAAUACCCCGCUGUUCUGACGGUACCCACAGAAUAAGCACCGGCUAACUUCGU
RNAcentral lists this ribosomal RNA (490 nucleotides) under uncultured bacterium. Its description in RNAcentral is "partial 16S ribosomal RNA". It matches the Rfam family "Bacterial small subunit ribosomal RNA", at positions 29 to 506 of the family's 1533-position model. The record is from RNAcentral.